GAGCCGAGGAGCCGAGAAUUAGGGAGGGAGGGACCGACCAGACGUCACCGACGCUGAACUAGAGUAAUUUACCGUGUCGGGAAGUGGGCGAGCGCUGUUGGAAAAAAGAGGAAAGGUAAAGCCAGAUAACCCCCAGCCGCUUCUCCCUGUGUUCGCGGGCGUCUUUUCCUUUUCGUGGAAUACUCAGGAAGACCAGGGGUGAGACCGCAGCUAGCGCCAUGCUGCUCAGAAACCCCGAAUCCGGGGCACUGUGUGACACAUCGGGCCAAAUACCAGCUGGCCUGUGGGUCAGCAGGAGCCUUUUGGCUGGCAUCCCCCAGGCCACUUCCAGACUUGUCUGGGCAAAGCCAGAACUGACUCUGGGAUUUUGACCCAAACAGCAGGGAAGAAUCUGGACUGCGGGGGAAGACUGUAAGGAAAGCCGGGUAAGAAGAUGCAGCAGGUGAUGGUGUCACAUGAGAGUCCAGGCCCUCCACGCCAGCUGCCUGGGACCCCUGAUGCUGAGCUCCUGCAGGAAAGAGGUUUGGAUCAGUAUUGAGAGGAACUAUAUUCAGUUUCUGCCCUCAUCCUACAUCCAAUUUGGAAAAAAUCAGAAUCUUAAGAAAAGAUCCUACAAAGCAACUUAUUAAAGAAUUGUAUUCCUUAUUAUAUAUACUUAAUGACAUGUACAACUUGACAUGUAUGAUAAAUAACUUACGUAUGUGUCCAUGAAAUGUAUGGUAUCAUUUGGUAACUCCUACCCCACCAGUUUUGCCAACGUGUCCAUGUUGAGCAUAUAUAAUUUUACUUCUGCAGACCUUUUUGGAACCUUGAGAUUUUAAAAGUACAGAAUGAGUCCCUGAGAAACAAGAUAAAACAGCGGCAAAGAAAGAGCAAAGGUUUUGUCGUAAAGCUUUUGGAAAAAUAAAGGAAGAUGGGAAAAUGUGAGGCUGGGCUUU
This 938-nucleotide long non-coding RNA is filed under the name Neogale vison (American mink). Its description in RNAcentral is "Neovison vison (American mink) lncRNA (ENSNVIG00000014978.1)". Lineage: Eukaryota; Metazoa; Chordata; Mammalia; Carnivora; Mustelidae. The record is from RNAcentral.